UAACUGUAUUAUUGCACAUUGCGAUUAUGUUAUUAAGUAAUCGCUAGAGGGUAUUUAGUGCUACUGAAUUAGUGGAACUGUUAGUGGAACUGUUAGUGGAACUGUGUACUAAUCUUGUAGAUUGAUUUUUCUAAUUAUAGUAUAGCUUCAAGCAGUGAACCAGAAUUUUCGAGAUUAAAUUAAGUAAAACAAAUAUCAUUAUUACUAGCUGAACCAGAAUUUCCCUUGGGAUGAAAUGCUUUCCUGACGAAGGUUCUUGUAUGCUGGCAUGAUAACAACCGAUUAUAUGGGCUGAAAGUGGAAUAUGUGAAGCUAAAGGAAUGUUUUAUCUCUAUAAUCACUAAUGAUAUCCGCUGUGCGAGAGCCGUGGAUAGUGAGGGGUCUGAGACAGUGAGACAUGCACUCCGUAUUAACCGGUGGGUCAUUUUCAAGUUAGUUUAUGUUCAAUUCUUGUCUCCAAAUCUUUAUUCAGUUAUUAAAUUAAUGUUCCAAUUGUAUCUAGUCUAUAUAUGUUCAAUAAUUCAUGAUUCCAAUUGACUAUUGUUUCUUAUCGUCAGGAAACUAACGUUCGAAGAAAAAAAGAAUAUCCAGACUCAACACUGACAACACUCUUGGAGUAUUCAAAGACAGGACAACACUUGUUAUGCUCCAGCUCUACAAAUCCCUGAUAAGGUCCAGAGUGGAGUACUGCUGCCCGCUUUGGAAUCAAAACAAGAUCUAUGAUGUCCAGUCUUUCGAGAGCAUACAACGCUAGUUCACCAGACGGAUUCUAGGGCUCUAGAGACACCGAUUAAAUGGAAUAGACUGAAGGAACUGAAACUUACAUCACUGCAAAGACGCCGAGAACGCUACACCAUCAUACAUCUGUGGAAAGUUCUCCAGGGAAUAUGUCCAAAUGUUCUAGAUGUACAGUUCAGAGAGAAUGCCAGACUGGGAGUUAAAGUUAUACUCCCUUCUCUCACCAAACAAGCAUCAGCUGCUACACGCUCCACCUACGACCAUUCUGUUCUCCCCAAAAUUGUCAAUACUCAAAGGACUUUGACAAGCUUCAAGACAUCUCUUGGAAACUUCCUAGACACCCUUCCAGAAUCCAGACAAGCCCCUACUCCUGGAUACAGUGCAGAAAACUCGAUUUCUACAGACAUAGCGGAGUUCUACAGUUACUAGCUACGAGUCCACAUGGAUCGAGAUCUCAUCAAUCCUACCUUCGCUCACUACAAAUGGACUCCACCAAGAUGCUGCUUCCCCGGAGUUCAACAUAGCUGAAGGAUUGCUCCACGGCCUCUACUGCACUCAAUGUUAUCCUUUUCAAACCUUACUAUCUGGAAAUUUCUGGACUGUCUGAAGGCGGAGCAGGACAUAACAUAUGUGAAACUCACGAAGAGACUGUGCAGAGAACGUCCUAGCCGAGGAGCAGCAAAGUGGAUCUUAAGUAUGACGAGAGACUGCAGACUGUUAACUUGAUUUUCUUAAAGUUAUUGGAUGUAUGAUUUGAAUUUAUGAUAUAAUGAAUUUGUGAUUUAAAUUUAUUAACAUGACUUUCAAAUUGAUAAUCUCUCUUGGUGAAGAAUAUAA
Molecule: long non-coding RNA, 1575 nt
Organism: Bolinopsis microptera
Lineage: Eukaryota; Metazoa; Ctenophora; Tentaculata; Lobata; Bolinopsidae
Exons: 2
Source: RefSeq, a predicted model, not a curated record